GACGGUCGGGACGUGUCAUGAUUGAGACCAAGGAUUGAGACCGACACACACAAGCUCUCUAAUCUCUCUAAUUCACUGACGCUACCACCAUUACAGCUCACCCACCCGUACCAAGUAGCGACCACGUGGCACCUCUGUGAUCCCGCAUUACCUACACCAGACUCCAAUUAGAUGGGUUGCUGUGGCCAACUAUGAUUCUGUUGAGGAUGAAGAUCAAAUUGUACAGCCACUCCUAGGCAACUUUGGCCGAGUUGAUAUCCUUGUGGGCAAGGCAGGCAUCCUCCAAAACAGAUCCUUUCAACGCACCUCUGACACUGAGACCUGGUACAGCGAGUUCACCUAUAAGGGUCCUUCAGAGUGACCCGAGCAGCCUUCCUUGCCAUGAGAGGAGAAGGUUGGCCGUCUCAUCAUGGCAGUGUCCACAACCAGCAUAUCUGGAAACUUUGGACAGUGCUGUCAAGCUGGGAUUGCUGGGCCUGAGCAACACAGUGUCCAUUGAAGGUCAGAAGUACAUCUACUACAACACCAUUGCUCGUGUCAGUGGUACACACAACAGAGGACAUCCUUCCUCCUGGUGAAAGGCAUUCCUCCCUAGAGGUGACAGACGUGUUUGAUUCAGAGUUCAAGCCAGAAUUUAUGGCGUCUUUAGUCCUGUGGUCAUCACGAGGACUGGGGACACUGGUGGACUCUUCCUGACUGCUAAUGGUUGGUAGGGUAAAUUUGGUGAGUCAACUCAGGACGAAGAUGCCCUACAAUUUUUGUAUAAGAACCAUGAAGACUUGGUCCUCUGCCCACAUUUAGUGUUGUCUACCCAGGCUGUCAUGACAGAUAGGGCCUUGUGGUCCAUUAUUCCUUCUUGGUAUGUGCACCUCACUUGUAAUUGGGCAAGAAGAGGCAUCACCAACUCUUUAAAUAGAUGCCAUGCAGAAUCUGCAGAUUCACCAGUCUUGUGAGUGAUACAUUCUGCCUUGUCCAUGAUGCCUACUCUAUCUCACCACUGUAGAGGCAAAACAGUGGCUCAUGUUGGCUGAACAACUACCCAGGUUUUUGUGCCACCAAUUGGACCAUGCUCAGAAAUGCCCUUAUUAGCUACUGAAGAGGACCAAAGUAGCUUACAUAAAUAAAAUGUAGUCAACAUUACAGCGAAGUGGACCAACAUCCUGUCUGCCUAAGAUGCCCUCCCUAACUCACUAUUGAAGAGGACAAGGAAAGUGGCACCCUCCCUUACUCACUACUGAAGAGGACAAGAAGUGGCACUACAAGAAAAAGUAUUUAAAGUUGCCUAAGUUGAAAGUACUUUUGAAGACUGCAGAGAUUUUGUUACGGAGAAUUUGAUCAAGAUUCUGGAAAGGGAAAGUACUAGGGAACAAGUAAUUUUUAUUUGAUAAAAUUGCUAUAUUAAUAUUAACUCUGGAGAGUUUUUGGAGUAUUUUUGACUUGGUACAGAUUUCUAAGCAUUUUCCCAUUCCAUUUUAGGGCCAUUUUCACCCUCCUGUUUAGUAGAGAAUUAGAUGGGGGAUUCUAGGCAGGCAGCAUGCAGGUCCAAUGCUGGGUCUGAAGGGGGAGCAUCUGCCUAACCCCUUCGUUACCGACCCGUCAACCUUAUGUAAACAAGACGUUUCGCUGCCGAACCAACUGCCCACGCACUCCUCCGCAUCGUCCGUGCGGUAGUCUUCAGCUUCUCACAAACACCCUGUUCACACUAUAUUAUUUAUUUUUAUGUUUUCUAUCAGAGAAACCCCAAAACAUGUCAUUUGAGUAAAAAAAAAUAUGCAGCACAUGUGUUGGUCCAGAGACACAGAGCAGCAAUCACAUCUUUCCCCAUGAAUAACUGAAAACAGUCUAGAUCACUCAUAGCACUAGCUUCAUGAUGUAGAAUAAUACUAGGAUGUACAUCAGGAAAAUCAGUGUUACUUGUAGGUAGAGGGUUAGGUCUGGUGUCAGAGAAUGGGUCUGAAAGAAGUGUGAAAUCUGUUUGUCUACCAGCAGCUGUGGGGGGUGAGGCAGGAGGGCUGCAUGACAGGCCACUGCUGGCGGACAACGUCUCAAUACUCUCGUCGCCGCUGCUAGCAUCACUCUCUACAUCACUGAUAGCUUCAGGAUCAAACAAAGUAUCAUCACCUUCCAUUGAGACAUCAGACCCCUCAAAUUCCCUUUGUUCCACCAUCAUAUAUUCAUCUUCACUGUCAGUUGUAGAGAUUGCCAAUUGCAAAGUAAAUCCGUGCGUGCUACCACAAAAAAAACUUCAGGCAGCACUGAACAGAAGCUAGAGAAUAUCACAUUGUAGCACUCGACAAGCAUGUGUUGCCAUACAUAGGUCAGAAAAUAUGAUGAUUGGUCUUCACAAAUUACGUCAGCACUGACAAUAACUCAUUGGUCAAAGUUUAUGAAGUUUCAAACCGUCCCACGAAUGGCUGCAGCCUUAUGUUUGUAAACACAGACACUCCCCACCACGUGGGUAGAAAUAACCCAGAAACCGAGGCCUUGAGAGCCCUCAAUACACACAGCUUAUAACCAUGGCAUGUGCAUGUCACGGGGAGCACCCUCGGUUCCUGGCGCGUGAACUCAGCCGUGACACGCAUGUGUCACAAAACACACAUCCGGUACUGAAGGGGUUAACCCAAGAGAGCUCAUACUGCACUGAGGUUGAUUCCAAUUGCUUUGAAAUUUUAAUAUGUUGUUUGCUGGUGUAAAAGUAGGCUAUAUGGUCUGUAAAUUUCAUCAAAUUUGAGUGAAUGGUAGAGAAGACUUUUUAUGUAUAAGGGAAAAAUGGGUCGAUGUCAUUAAGGGCUCUUGGAACCUCCACCCCAAGGAUGGUACUGAGGGCCUCAAUCUCGUACUGGAUGGCAAGGGUGAGGUCCUCCUCUGGUGGAGGUAGCUCCACAACUGAUCUAUCUCUCUCCUUUUGAGCCAGCAUUUGGGCUGCCAGAGGAGAAAGUGGUAGCCGAGGCUCAAAGUCCACAGUCCAGAGGCUGGCUUUCUUCCUUGAAUCAGCGGAGGUGGCGCAGCAACAGGCUCCACCAGGAGCAGAGAUGCUGCACUCUUCCUUUUACCUGAAACCCUCAAUUGUACUGUGAGGCAGUACCAGGGUAUGGAUUUGCUCAUUAAUUCCCUGCUUACUCAAGUGAAGCCUUUGAAAGGCUGCCAUUAUGCAAACCUCUUCCAGGUCCCACAGGGCCUUUGAACUAGCGUUCAAACAAGCAGCCUCAGCACCCUGGUAAAUUUCCGUGUGCGCAGCUUGCUAAUGAACCUUCCGUCCCCCGUAGCAAGCAAAGGGAACAGGGCAGGUUGGUGAACCCAGUGCCAUACUGGGAGCAGCUGCUCUCUCCAUCAUAUUGGACAGAGGAAGAUAAACAUAAGGCCUUUGCUCAUCAACUGCUAACCUUUGCCUGCCAAGGUAGAGAGGGUGGGUGUGUACUUGUACCCGGACCAGCCAGAAAACUGUGGUCCUGAGAUUCCAGCAGGACCACAAGGUGGUGAUGCAUUCUUAGUAACUAAGCCCAAAUGUGAUUGAUCAUAAUUGCUCCUGGUUUUCAAUUUAAUUGCUUUGAAAAAUUUACCAUAGAAACUUGGUACAUGUACAUUCCUAGACAUGUACAUUUCUAGGAUAAUAGCUUUUCAUUUUGUUUUGUUUCUGAAAGAAGAACAAGAAGAAUUGUUUGUUGGUGGGUUAGGCAUCCCCCUCCAGGGCGAAUGGGAGGAGGCAAGUGUUCCUAAGGUGGCGAUUGUCAGUUGAACAUGAACAGGCCUCCCCCAGGAGAUCUUUAGGCCUAGGGAGAUGUUGCUACUAGGGCCAUUAGGAGUUCCAGCCAAAAUCUCCAGUAUAGCAAGGUUUUUUGUCAACAUGCCAGAGCUGCUGGACCCUACAGUACCUCCCCUUGCUUAUUGUGUUGGGCUGGCUACUUUGUCUGUCUCCUCUAUAGAGGCCGUAGAGGAACACCAUACCUCAAGUAACUUGUCUUGCAAGGGUUGAAGAAGAAUUGAGACACCACAUACUGAGAUAUUGACUCUUAAGGAUUCCAUUUCAUCAUUGGUAUGAAUUUUUGCUACUGGAAAAUGAUAAGGUACAAGGCAUCUGGUCCCCUCCAAGAAAGUAAGGUGAGGAUGUCAGAAGGCAUUAGUUUCCUCAUUGUUGUUGGAUUUGAUCAAAAAGCUCCAGGCUUGUAGCUGCUAUCUUUCUUCCGUUUUCUUUUCUUGGCCUUCAGUGUUGCAUGCCUUUAACUUCUUCCUUGUCGAACCACAGGUGUGAUGAUAUGCAGCAAGAUUUGUUCCAUACUUAAGAGUGGAGAGACUCCUUCGGGUUCUGGGUGGCACCCUUCAAGCAUCUACUCAUUUGUGUUGCCAAGAUCUCUGUGAACUGCUUUGAUGUAACCCAACUCUCCUGUGGAAGGACUAGGAGUCUAUUCCUUAGUGUGAGUGCUCUUGAUUGCUUGAAAUUGAAUCCUAGUACGAUGACCACACUGCUCUUCUCAUGUCUGAUGGCGUCAUUCUUUUUUCUCUGAUUGCUUUUCCAUAGCAUAUUCACUCCUAUGUUUUUCAUCAUUUUGCCAGUUUGGUGGUGGUGGUCUCAUAUCCCUCUUGAUUUUUUUGUAAUUAUGUGUCCAUCCUUGCACUGUUCCUUGAUAACUGGCACUUCAUAGGGGCCCCUUCCUCCAUUCAAAUGGCAGAUGUUAUUGUAGGCACUGAAGUUGCUGUUACUAACAAAUGUUGUAAAGUGCAUCUGGUACUGAGAUGACUGACCAGAUGUGCAUUGCAGUCUCUGACUCCAUGGCCCCUGCCUUCUCCAUGCAGCCAUGCUGCUUGUUGCUGUAGGUAUUGCAUGUUACGUAAAAGUUUGUAAGAACAUCCAGAUCCAAGACAAACCCAGAGUUCACUUUGACAGCAAAUUUAACGCCAACUUCUGUCCCCGCUUCAUCCAGCUGGCAUAGAAGCUGACAACAUCCAGGAUGCCAUUUUCAUAGGGUACACACUGUAGAUCUUAGGCAUACAGUUCCACCUGUCAGCAGUGACUGUGUCAACUUAAUUCCACUGUAACCCAUGCCCAAAAGAAGGCAUAAGUAUACCUCUUGUAGCUGUGGUGGUGGGGAGUCUGCUGGGACAUUGGUGAAGAGGCACAAGGGCGAUAAGUCGUCAGCUGGCUGCCUCAUCUCUGCUCCCUUCUGUAUCAGUUUCUCCUUGGUUUGGAGAAUCUUGGCUUCUCCUUCCUUGAAGUCAUGAGGUUUAAGAGUUUUGUUCUUGGUCAUAUUUCAGAUGAGAAAACUAGUGAUGCACUCUAAGGUCUAGGGAGGCACUUUGAUGCAAGUAACGAGUAUCCCACAACACACUAUGGGAGAGAUGCCAGAUGUUGAAAUUUACUAAAGAAAAAUCAUUUUAAUUAAAAUUACACAUUGAUACAAGCAUUGAAUGAUAAGUGUGAAUGAGUAAACUUGAAGAGUCCAUGAUGGGAAAUAUUAGCUGUCAGACAAUGGUGUGAAACAUUUAAAAAUAGCAUCUGGGGUAGAAGUGGAUUUAAUAAAAAAAAUUACUUCAUCAAAUGAUAACUUUGGGUUGGAAGGACUGUGUGAGCAAAAAAAAUAAAUUUUGAAGAUAUUCGUGAAAAUUUGCCUCAUCUCCCUGAAGACUUCCUACUCCUCUAGCUAUAGCCAUAACACUCCCACAGCCUCUCCCAUCAUGAACUAUUGAAGCUUACUCACCAGUCGAGUUGCAUGUCCCACUCUUCUUGCAAUCUAGAAAAUAGACGACUUAAAUGCAAUCCUUAAACCCUUGAAAAGUGUCAAGUAUUUCAUAUAUUCCAAAUAAGAGGAAAAUGAUACACAUGUACUAAUGACACACCUACUACUGGAUGUCACAGUAAUAGUUGCUAUGAUAUCAACUAGUAAUAUAUUGAAGCUUCAGCAACAGGUCAUGACUUUAGAACAAAACUGAAAAAAUAAAUAAAAAGAUAACCUGUUAAU
Molecule: long non-coding RNA, 5954 nt
Filed under: Portunus trituberculatus (swimming crab)
Lineage: Eukaryota; Metazoa; Arthropoda; Malacostraca; Decapoda; Portunidae
Description: uncharacterized LOC123499185, transcript variant X3
Source: RNAcentral